Molecule: ribosomal RNA, 478 nt
Filed under: uncultured bacterium
Lineage: Bacteria
Description: partial 16S ribosomal RNA
Rfam family: Bacterial small subunit ribosomal RNA
Source: RNAcentral
GACGAACGCUGGCGGCGUGCUUAACACAUGCAAGUCGAACGGUAAGGCCCUUCGGGGUACACGAGUGGCGAACGGGUGAGUAACACGUGGGUGAUCUGCCCUGCACUUCGGGAUAAGCCUGGGAAACUGGGUCUAAUACCGGAUAGGACUCCGGACUGCAUGGUCUGGGGUGGAAAGCUUUUGCGGUGUGGGAGGGGCCCGCGGCCUAUCAGCUUGUGGGUGGGGUGAUGGCCUACCAAGGCGACGACGGGUAGCCGGCCUGAGAGGGUGACCGGGCACACUGGGACUGAGAUACGGCGCCGGCUCCUACGGGAGGCAGCAGUGGGGAAUAUGGCACAAUGGGCGGAAGCCUGAUGCAGCGACGCCGCGUGAGGGAUGACGGCCUUCGGGUUGUAAACCUCUUUCAGCAUCGACGAAGCGAAAGUGACGGUAGGUGCAGAAGAAGGACCGGCCAACUGCGUGCCAGCAGCAGCCGCGG